This 117-nucleotide ribosomal RNA is filed under the name Sinocyclocheilus rhinocerous. The record is from RNAcentral. Lineage: Eukaryota; Metazoa; Chordata; Actinopteri; Cypriniformes; Cyprinidae.
GCCGGCAGCCAUAUCAGCCUGCAGCCCAAGACUGGUUGUCCACUGACGCUAAGCAGGGCUGAGCCUGGUCAGUACCUGGAUGGGAGACCUCCUGGGAAAACUAGGUUGCUGCUGGAA